CAGCCGCCGCGGUAAUACGAAGGGGGCUAGCGUUGUUCGGAUUUACUGGGCGUAAAGCGCACGUAGGCGAACUUUUAAGUCAGGGGUGAAAUCCCGGGGCUCAACCCCGGAACUGCCUUUGAUACUGGAAGUCUUGAGUAUGGUAGAGGUGAGUGGAAUUCCGAGUGUAGAGGUGAAAUUCGUAGAUAUUCGGAAGAACACCAGUGGCGAAGGCGGCUCACUGGACACGUAUUGACGCUGAGGUACGAAAGCGUGGGGAGCAAACAGGAUUAGAUACCCCAGUAGUCCCUGUCUCUUAUAA
This 301-nucleotide ribosomal RNA is filed under the name uncultured bacterium. RNAcentral describes it as "partial 16S ribosomal RNA". It matches the Rfam family "Bacterial small subunit ribosomal RNA", at positions 509 to 809 of the family's 1533-position model. The record is from RNAcentral.